UACGAAGGGGGCUAGCGUUGCUCGGAAUCACUAGGCGUAAAGCGCAGGUAGGCGGUUCGGUAAGUCUCUUGUGAAAGCUCCCGGCUCAACUGGGAGAGGUCAAGGGAAACUACCGGGCUAGAGUGUGGCAGAGGAAGCUGGAAUUCCCGGUGUAGCGGUGAAAUGCGUAGAGAUCGGGAGGAAUACCUAUGGCGAAAGCAGGCUUCUGGGCCGUCACUGACGCUGAUCUGCGAAAGCUAGGGGAGCAAACAGG
RNAcentral lists this ribosomal RNA (253 nucleotides) under uncultured bacterium. Its description in RNAcentral is "partial 16S ribosomal RNA". It matches the Rfam family "Bacterial small subunit ribosomal RNA", at positions 524 to 776 of the family's 1533-position model. The record is from RNAcentral.